AAACAAACUCUUUCCUAUGAGUAUAUACUUCCCCCAUUUAACAAAAAGACACGCUCCAUGUAGUACAGAAUCCUGUGCAAAAUGAUUAGGCUACCAGAACAUAGAAGUGCUUUAGUCCUUUUUCCUAUGAAAGGUAACUAAUUGUCAGUAUUGACUAGAAUUUUCCCUGAUAGAAUAAACUCGGUUUUUGACAAUGCUCUAUUUUCUUUUUAGUCCUUGUGUUUAAUUUCUCCCCUAGGAAUCCGUUCUAGGAUUCAGGCAAACAUGUUUUAGAUGUUUGCAAAGGGCACAGGAUGAAUCCAGAGCCUCCUUUCUGCAGUCACAAAUGCCAUUCUGGACUAAGAGUCCAUGGCACAAGUGAGCUCACCUUUUCCUAAGCCUUUCCAAAAGGCACACACAGGCCUUGCACACUGCUGAGCCCAAUGCCACAGAGGCUUCCUAAGUGACUGCACCUAAGGGGUUGGUAAAAAAAACUGUGAAAGACACAAGAGAAUGCCAAUAAAUCCUUCACUCCAUCCCAGAGCUGGGAUGUCAAGCCAUUUUGUCUUUCCACAGAACCUCUACACAAAAGCCCUCAGCCUUCAAGGAGGCUUCACCCCUUGUUCAGACAUUCAGGGUACCACCCAAAGCAUAUGAUAAUCACAUAUGAUUUGCAUAGCUUUUUUCUUCUACAUAGUCGUUUAAAUUGUAGAAUUUUGCACAGAGAAAUUGAAUUAAGCUAAGUAGAAAAUAUAUGGUUUUGUAUAGCUUAAAAAUACAAUGAUGAAAUACCAUACACAUGUACUUAUUAUUUUUCAUUAGUUACCAUUAAACUAAUAAUAGUUGCUCUUAUAUUUAACCCAAAAUGGUAUGUCCUUAACAAAUUGCAAGACUGUCUAAUAAAUUUGGAUAUCAAAUUUUAGAUAAAAUCAUUUGCCAUCGUGUAAUAGUGACCAGCAAUUAAGACAGGUAAGGAUUCUAAUUCAUUAUCUCAUAAAACCAUUGUGUAACAGGGACAUUGGUGAGCACAAAAAAUUAGCACUAAGAUAAGGACAACAAAUACAAACAUAAAAGGACUUAUGAACUGAAGUAAGAAACUAUGAAAGUUGAUUCUUUUGAUGAGCACUGAAAUGAAAAUAUGCCCCAUAGGAACAGAAGCAUUUGUUCUCAAACUCAGUGCUCUGUUGCAAGAUGAUUUUUAAAAAUCUAUGAAUAUUUAAGAGACAGAAAUCAACUCAUCCUGAUUUUGCUACAUUUAUAAUGCAUGACUAGUGUUAAUCAUAUUUUUGCCCAUAUGGAAAAAAACAAGCAAAUAGAAAUGCUAGACACAUAGAGAUACAUGCUAUUUCCUUUUUUUUUUAAUUAAUAUCCUUCCUCAGGUUAAAGAAUAGGAUACCCUAAGGCAAUCUCUUAAGUUAUUGAUGCAUAAAAUCACAAAAAGUAUAUCUGUAAAUCAACAAACAUUUUAUUUCCAAGGAAAAAAAGUAACAUCAUUAGUUCAGGGAAAUUCAGGAGUCACUUGAAUCAAAGACCAAAUACCAACCGACUUCAGUGACAGGAGGAAAUGGCUUUUGGGGUUAUGCCAUGAAGCUGCAUUGUGGUCUAGAAUCAUAAUAAAUUUUAGUUGUAAACAGUGUCAGUAUCAUUGUGUAUUUAACUUUCUUCUUGUUAUUUUCUUUACCUUAUGUGUACAGAUGACCAGAUCCUGAAUCCCUCAAGACAAAGGAACACAGAAUAUGCAUUGGCUGUUCUUGGCAGGCUUCCACCAAAGUAUUAGUCAAUGGUUUUCCCAGUGUUUCUGGAAGCAUUAUGGUUAAUAUUCCACUCAGAAGAGCCAUGAUUCCAACAAGCAACUGGAAGAAAUAAACAGUAACUGUAAAGACAUGUUCACAGAGCUACAAUUUCCC
This is a long non-coding RNA of Ficedula albicollis (Collared flycatcher), 1886 nucleotides long. RefSeq lists it as uncharacterized. The record is from RefSeq and is a predicted model, not a curated record. Lineage: Eukaryota; Metazoa; Chordata; Aves; Passeriformes; Muscicapidae. The transcript is spliced from 3 exons.